CCUACGUGAGGCUGCAGUGGGGAAUAUUGCACAAUGGCGGAAACCCUGAUGCAGCGACGCCGCGUGAGUGUAGAAGUAUUUCGGUAUGUAAAGCUCUAUCAGCAGGGAAGAAGAAAGACGGUACCUGACUAAGAAGCACCGGCUAACUACGUGCCAGCAGCCGCGGUAAUACGUAGGGGGCAAGCGUUAUCCGGAUUAACUGGGUGUAAAGGGAGCGUAGACGGCUGUGCAAGUCUGAAGGGAAAGCCCAGGGCUCAACCCUGGGACUGCUUUUGAUACUGUGGAGCUAGAGUGCUGGAGAGGUAGGUGGAAUGCGUAGUGUAGCGGUGAAAUGCGUAGAUAUUAGGAGGAACACCAGUGGCGAAGGCAGCUUACUGAACAGUAACUGACGUUGAGGCACGAAAGCGUGGGGAUCAAACAGGAUUAGAUACCCCAGUAGUC
RNAcentral lists this ribosomal RNA (441 nucleotides) under uncultured bacterium. Its description in RNAcentral is "partial 16S ribosomal RNA". It matches the Rfam family "Bacterial small subunit ribosomal RNA", at positions 338 to 795 of the family's 1533-position model. The record is from RNAcentral.